GCCAGCGUGGUGUAGUGGUAUGAGCAUUGGACUAUGACUCUGGAGACCUGGGUUCAAAUUCCGACUCCGCCA
Molecule: non-coding RNA, 72 nt
Organism: Phrynosoma platyrhinos (Desert horned lizard)
Lineage: Eukaryota; Metazoa; Chordata; Lepidosauria; Squamata; Phrynosomatidae
Source: the annotation of a GenBank genome assembly